Molecule: long non-coding RNA, 356 nt
Filed under: Gossypium barbadense (sea-island cotton)
Lineage: Eukaryota; Viridiplantae; Streptophyta; Magnoliopsida; Malvales; Malvaceae
Description: long non-coding RNA (GBAR_LNC020109)
Source: RNAcentral
GAUGAUUACAUUUCCAGGUAAUGAAUUCGAUUUUAAUUGGAUUUUUAUGGGACUAUGUUUCUCAAGAUUUGAAUGACAGAAAUCAUGAAUUUAGGUUUUGGGGUUCGUAAGAGUAGUAUAAAAUCUCAAAAAAGAAAUUCAAAAAAAUCAUGAAUUUAGGUUUUGGAUUUUAAUUGGUUUUUGCAGCUAAGAUGGUACCUUCUAUUGGUUUUUGCUGCUAAGAUGGUACCUUCUAUUGAUUUUUGCUGCUAAAUCAACCAUGUCUGGAGACCGAACUCUAUAACCCCAAAUGGCUAAGAUCUCAUCCAUACCAAAUGGAUAUAUUUAAAAAUGCUUACUUAUUUUAUUUGUUUCAG